This 666-nucleotide long non-coding RNA is filed under the name Androctonus crassicauda. The record is from RNAcentral. Lineage: Eukaryota; Metazoa; Arthropoda; Arachnida; Scorpiones; Buthidae.
GAAAAAUCUUUUUAAUGCAAAUAUUUUUAAUUUUUAUUAAACACAAAAAAACAAUAAAAUAAUACAGUAAAACCUCGUUAAUUUGAUAUUGGUUAAUUCAUAUGAUAAAACCAGGCAAGGACUAAGAAAUUCAUAGACUCCAUCACAAAUCACAACCUAGGUCUGAGAUUAAACUUAGAAUAACAAAGCAGCACAAUCAUAUUUCUUUCUAGAUGUGCAACUAAUAAUAAAGAAAGGAAAAUGCAUAACUUCUGUGUUUAGAAACAAUGUAUGAACCUUGUCUUCUCUUGAUCAAAUGCCUCCUAUACAUAAAUGUGUGGCAUGUCUUUUUCAGAAGGAUUUUUACAGACUGCAUAGAAGAAGGUGAGAGAAAAUAUGAAAGGAUUUUAGGGAACAGAAGAAAGCAUAGAUAUUUGAUGAAUUUCAUGAAAGGCAUAUAUAAAAGAGUGAAGAACAUAUAUGAGAGAGCAAAUAAUGGUAAUAAAUACUAAUGAAAUAGAAAGAGACAUGAGCAAUGAACAAACAAAAGUAGAAUAAAUAGUCCUACUAGCAACAAUAGCCAGUUGCUAGUAGGACAAAGGUGGCAUAUAAAAGAGGACCUGUAAUAUUUAGGGCCGGUUGCACGACUUUCGGUUUAAUCUGCAGAAUAGUUAUCGCUAGACUAAC